RNAcentral lists this ribosomal RNA (1462 nucleotides) under Lactiplantibacillus plantarum. RNAcentral's name for it is "bacterial SSU rRNA". It matches the Rfam family "Bacterial small subunit ribosomal RNA". The record is from RNAcentral. Lineage: Bacteria; Bacillati; Bacillota; Bacilli; Lactobacillales; Lactobacillaceae.
CCCUUAUUACCUGCCAAGUCGAACGAACUCUGGUAUUGAUUGGUGCUUGCAUCAUGAUUUACAUUUGAGUGAGUGGCGAACUGGUGAGUAACACGUGGGAAACCUGCCCAGAAGCGGGGGAUAACACCUGGAAACAGAUGCUAAUACCGCAUAACAACUUGGACCGCAUGGUCCGAGUUUGAAAGAUGGCUUCGGCUAUCACUUUUGGAUGGUCCCGCGGCGUAUUAGCUAGAUGGUGGGGUAACGGCUCACCAUGGCAAUGAUACGUAGCCGACCUGAGAGGGUAAUCGGCCACAUUGGGACUGAGACACGGCCCAAACUCCUACGGGAGGCAGCAGUAGGGAAUCUUCCACAAUGGACGAAAGUCUGAUGGAGCAACGCCGCGUGAGUGAAGAAGGGUUUCGGCUCGUAAAACUCUGUUGUUAAAGAAGAACAUAUCUGAGAGUAACUGUUCAGGUAUUGACGGUAUUUAACCAGAAAGCCACGGCUAACUACGUGCCAGCAGCCGCGGUAAUACGUAGGUGGCAAGCGUUGUCCGGAUUUAUUGGGCGUAAAGCGAGCGCAGGCGGUUUUUUAAGUCUGAUGUGAAAGCCUUCGGCUCAACCGAAGAAGUGCAUCGGAAACUGGGAAACUUGAGUGCAGAAGAGGACAGUGGAACUCCAUGUGUAGCGGUGAAAUGCGUAGAUAUAUGGAAGAACACCAGUGGCGAAGGCGGCUGUCUGGUCUGUAACUGACGCUGAGGCUCGAAAGUAUGGGUAGCAAACAGGAUUAGAUACCCUGGUAGUCCAUACCGUAAACGAUGAAUGCUAAGUGUUGGAGGGUUUCCGCCCUUCAGUGCUGCAGCUAACGCAUUAAGCAUUCCGCCUGGGGAGUACGGCCGCAAGGCUGAAACUCAAAGGAAUUGACGGGGGCCCGCACAAGCGGUGGAGCAUGUGGUUUAAUUCGAAGCUACGCGAAGAACCUUACCAGGUCUUGACAUACUAUGCAAAUCUAAGAGAUUAGACGUUCCCUUCGGGGACAUGGAUACAGGUGGUGCAUGGUUGUCGUCAGCUCGUGUCGUGAGAUGUUGGGUUAAGUCCCGCAACGAGCGCAACCCUUAUUAUCAGUUGCCAGCAUUAAGUUGGGCACUCUGGUGAGACUGCCGGUGACAAACCGGAGGAAGGUGGGGAUGACGUCAAAUCAUCAUGCCCCUUAUGACCUGGGCUACACACGUGCUACAAUGGAUGGUACAACGAGUUGCGAACUCGCGAGAGUAAGCUAAUCUCUUAAAGCCAUUCUCAGUUCGGAUUGUAGGCUGCAACUCGCCUACAUGAAGUCGGAAUCGCUAGUAAUCGCGGAUCAGCAUGCCGCGGUGAAUACGUUCCCGGGCCUUGUACACACCGCCCGUCACACCAUGAGAGUUUGUAACACCCAAAGUCGGUGGGGUAACCUUUUAGGAACCAGCCGCCUAAAGGGGACCAAA